GAUGAACGCUGGCGGCGUGCCUAAUACAUGCAAGUCGAGCGAACGGACGAGAAGCUUGCUUCUCUGAUGUUAGCGGCGGACGGGUGAGUAACACGUGGAGAACCUACCUAUAAGACUGGGAUAACUUCGGGAAACCGGAGCUAAUACCGGAUGAUAUUUUGAACCGCAUGGUUCAAAAGUGAAAGACGGUCUUGCUGUCACUUAUAGAUGGAUCCGCGCUGCAUUAGCUAGUUGGUAAGGUAACGGCUUACCAAGGCAACGAUGCAUAGCCGACCUGAGAGGUUGAUCAGCCGCACUGGAACUGUGACCCGCUCCUGACUCCUGCGGGAGGCAGCAGUAGGGAAUCUUCCACAAUGGGCGAAAGCCUGACGGAGCAACGCCGCGUGAGUGAUGAAGGUCUUCUGAUCGUAAAACUCUGUUAUUAGGGAAGAACAUAUGUGUAAGUAACUGUGCACAUCUUGACGGUACCUAAUCAGAAAGCCACGGCUAACUACGUG
This 497-nucleotide ribosomal RNA is filed under the name uncultured bacterium. RNAcentral describes it as "partial 16S ribosomal RNA". It matches the Rfam family "Bacterial small subunit ribosomal RNA", at positions 28 to 507 of the family's 1533-position model. The record is from RNAcentral.